Molecule: ribosomal RNA, 404 nt
Filed under: Actinomycetes bacterium
Lineage: Bacteria; Bacillati; Actinomycetota; Actinomycetes
Description: Actinobacteria bacterium partial 16S ribosomal RNA
Rfam family: Bacterial small subunit ribosomal RNA
Source: RNAcentral
UGGGGAAUAUUGGACAAUGGGCGCAAGCCUGAUCCAGCCAUGCCGCGUGAGUGAUGAAGGCCCUAGGGUUGUAAAGCUAUUUCACCGGUGAAGAUAAUGACGGUAACCGGAGAAGAAGCCCCGGCUAACUUCGUGCCAGCAGCCGCGGUAAUACGAAGGGGGCUAGCGUUGUUCGGAUUUACUGGGCGUAAAGCGCACGUAGGCGGACUUUUAAGUCAGGGGUGAAAUCCCGGGGCUCAACCCCGGAACUGCCUUUGAUACUGGAAGUCUUGAGUAUGGUAGAGGUGAGUGGAAUUCCGAGUGUAGAGGUGAAAUUCGUAGAUAUUCGGAGGAACACCAGUGGCGAAGGCGGCUCACUGGACCAUUACUGACGCUGAGGUGCGAAAGCGUGGGGAGCAAACAGG